RNAcentral lists this ribosomal RNA (408 nucleotides) under maize root bacterium ZmrIs3AY. RNAcentral describes it as "bacterial SSU rRNA". It matches the Rfam family "Bacterial small subunit ribosomal RNA", at positions 1043 to 1459 of the family's 1533-position model. The record is from RNAcentral.
GCAUGGUUGUCGUCAGCUCGUGCCGUGAGGUGUUAGGUUAAGUCCUGCAACGAGCGCAACCCCUGUCACUAGUUGCCAUCAUUCAGUUGGGGACUCUAGUGAGACUGCCUACGCAAGUAGAGAGGAAGGUGGGGAUGACGUCAAAUCAUCACGGCCCUUACGCCUUGGGCCACACACGUAAUACAAUGGCCGGUACAGAGGGCAGCUACACAGCGAUGUGAUGCAAAUCUCGAAAGCCGGUCUCAGUUCGGAUUGGAGUCUGCAACUCGACUCUAUGAAGCUGGAAUCGCUAGUAAUCGCGCAUCAGCCAUGGCGCGGUGAAUACGUUCCCGGGCCUUGUACACACCGCCCGUCAAGCCAUGGAAGUCUGGGGUACCUGAAGUCGGUGACCGUAACAGGAGCUGCCUA